AGAGUUUGAUCCUGGCUCAGGAUGAACGCUGGCGGCGUGCUUAACACAUGCAAGUCGAACGAGCCUUCGGGCUAGUGGCGGACGGGUGAGUAACGCGUGGGAAUCUGCCCUCAGGAGGGGGAUAACGGCCGGAAACGGCCGCUAAUACCCCAUAUGCCGAGAGGUGAAACGAAUUUCGCCUGAGGAUGAGCCCGCGUCUGAUUAGCUAGUUGGUGGGGUAAGAGCCCACCAAGGCGACGAUCAGUAGCUGGUCUGAGAGGAUGAUCAGCCACACUGGGACUGAGACACGGCCCAGACUCCUACGGGAGGCAGCAGUGGGGAAUUUUCCGCAAUGGGCGAAAGCCUGACGGAGCAACGCCGCGUGAGGGAUGAAGGCCUCUGGGCCGUAAACCUCUUUUCUCAAGGAAGAAGACAUGACGGUACUUGAGGAAUAAGCCACGGCUAAUUCCGUGCCAGCAGCCGCGGUAAUACGGGAGUGGCAAGCGUUAUCCGGAAUUAUUGGGCGUAAAGCGUCCGCAGGCGGCCUUGUAAGUCUGUCGUUAAAGCGUGGAGCUCAACUCCAUUUAAGCGAUGGAAACUACAAGGCUGGAGUGUGGUAGGGGCAGAGGGAAUUCCCGGUGUAGCGGUGAAAUGCGUAGAUAUCGGGAAGAACACCAGUGGCGAAGGCGCUCUGCUGGGCCAUAACUGACGCUCAUGGACGAAAGCCAGGGGAGCGAAAGGGAUUAGAUACCCCUGUAGUCCUGGCCGUAAACGAUGAACACUAGGUGUCGGGGGAAUCGACCCCCUCGGUGUCGUAGCCAACGCGUUAAGUGUUCCGCCUGGGGAGUACGCACGCAAGUGUGAAACUCAAAGGAAUUGACGGGGGCCCGCACAAGCGGUGGAGUAUGUGGUUUAAUUCGAUGCAACGCGAAGAACCUUACCAGGGUUUGACAUCCUGCGAAUCCCUUGGAAACGAGGGAGUGCCUUCGGGAGCGCAGAGACAGGUGGUGCAUGGCUGUCGUCAGCUCGUGUCGUGAGAUGUUGGGUUAAGUCCCGCAACGAGCGCAACCCACGUCUUUAGUUGCCAGCAUUCAGUUGGGCACUCUAGAGAGACCGCCGGUGAUAAACCGGAGGAAGGUGUGGAUGACGUCAAGUCAUCAUGCCCCUUACAUCCUGGGCUACACACGUACUACAAUGCUACGGACAAAGGGCAGCAAGCUCGCGAGAGUAAGCAAAUCCCAUAAACCGUGGCUCAGUUCAGAUCGUAGGCUGCAACUCGCCUACGUGAAGGAGGAAUCGCUAGUAAUCGCAGGUCAGCAUACUGCGGUGAAUACGUUCCCGGGCCUUGUACACACCGCCCGUCACACCAUGGAAGUUGGCCAUGCCCGAAGUCGUUACUCCAACCC
RNAcentral lists this ribosomal RNA (1385 nucleotides) under metagenome. RNAcentral describes it as "bacterial SSU rRNA". It matches the Rfam family "Bacterial small subunit ribosomal RNA". The record is from RNAcentral.